UUGCAUCUUUUGACAGCCCGAAGCUAUGCCGUUGGCUACUCGGGUCUUUUGGAAUGAUGAUGCAAUAUCAACAUCUCCGCGCUUUCUGUUCGCUGUCAUCGUGGCAACUCAGAUUGAAUAGGAGAUAACAUGA
This is a small nucleolar RNA of Megalops cyprinoides (Indo-Pacific tarpon), 133 nucleotides long. RefSeq annotates it as small nucleolar RNA SNORA31. The record is from RefSeq and is a predicted model, not a curated record. NCBI's taxonomy places the organism in Eukaryota, Metazoa, Chordata, Actinopteri, Elopiformes, Megalopidae. The transcript has a single exon.